CACGCUGGUGCUGACGGAGUCACACCUGAAGCGCAGGAUUUUAGCUGCUGGUGGUUCAGUGGUUGAAUGCCCCCCAGAAAAGGAGCAACUGAUUACUUCCACAGGCUUGCACCAGUUGCACAUUCUGAUCUUCUUUUUGGCUGUGUUUCAUGUGGUAAAUAGUGCUCUUAUAAUGGUCCUUGGAAGAGCAAAGAUACACAGAUGGAAGGACUGGGAAAAGGAUACGACAUCGGCUGAGUAUGCCUUCACGACUGGUAUAUAUAUGUUCACUAUUCUUUGUUUUUUUGUCCCAGAUUUGCAUCCUUGGAUCCUAGUUUGAGUGGUAAAAGUGCAGAACCAAUAUAUCGUGAUGCAAAAGGGAAAGCUAUUUCAAAGGAAGAGCUACUGAAACCAAAGGAGGAAGAGAAACCAAAGUUUACAAAUCUCAAGUACUCCAGAGUUGAAAUUGAUGA
This is a long non-coding RNA of Zingiber officinale, 452 nucleotides long. RefSeq lists it as uncharacterized. The record is from RefSeq and is a predicted model, not a curated record. The transcript is spliced from 5 exons. NCBI's taxonomy places the organism in Eukaryota, Viridiplantae, Streptophyta, Magnoliopsida, Zingiberales, Zingiberaceae.